Seriola aureovittata is the source of this 1001-nucleotide long non-coding RNA. RefSeq lists it as uncharacterized. Lineage: Eukaryota; Metazoa; Chordata; Actinopteri; Carangiformes; Carangidae. The record is from RefSeq and is a predicted model, not a curated record. The transcript has 4 exons.
UCAAAAAGGACAUAUUCCUCUGGUGCAGAAAAAGAAGAAAACUGGAGAAGAAAAACGCUCACAGGGAAAAGGCAGACAGACAGUGCUCAGGGUGAGAGCUGCGUCUGUACUGAAGUGUCCCAUUGAGUUUGGUGAAGUGGACUUAUCUCCUACCAUCCCUUCUCACAUCUCACUCUCUCCGGGAUCCAGACAGGGCUGAGCGCCACACUCAUCCUGCCCUCCUCACACCAGAGAGGCCUCUCUCCUUAGGGACCACAAAGUCCUCCUUACAGUUGGCAGAGUGCUGCAUGAUGCUCAAGGACUCCCAGCAAGGGCUACCUGUAUUUCUGGAUUCACUGCUGUUGUUGCCAGGGGGUGAAUCGAGACUGUGACUGCAACUCAGGGUUGGAGGCUGUGACUCUGAUGGACAGUCCUGGUGAUGACAUAUCUGUCUGUGUAUUUUGUAUGUAAAGUAUCCUUCGAUGUGUAUUUAUGAAAGUUAAUUGUUUCUAUAGCUUUUCCUGCGUGUAUAUCUGUUUGUAGUUUUGUCAGGCAUGGUGUAUUGUUGUGAAGUGGAAUCAUGUUUAUUGAUUUGUUUACCAGGAGUAGGAGGCUUUUCAAGCAUAAACAGCUCUCUCUCUGUCUCCCUCACUCUCCCUUCCUGAGUUUAAACUGUAGGGUUAGAGUGUACUUUGCAGCAGCAGGAUAUUUACAUGCAGGGUGGCCAUAUUCUCAGAUCCCCUGAACCAGUCCAAGACACAAACCCCCUUCAACAUCACCUUCCCUUACAUCAUGUAAAUCCAUUAGAUUACAUGUUCCUCGUGCUGUUGUUGUUGUAUGUGACUUGGGUCUCUGUGAGGUAAACAGCUGUUGGUGUGUGCUCUAGUGUCUGAUAAACACAUUAGACUGUUGUUUACUCUCCCCUAAACUAUCCCAGUUCAAACACUUGAUAGAGAUGGAGCUCCAAGCCAAUAAUGAAGAUGUGAGCAUCGUUAUAAUACUGUGACUUGUGAGAAUAAAAU